This 496-nucleotide ribosomal RNA is filed under the name uncultured bacterium. Its description in RNAcentral is "partial 16S ribosomal RNA". It matches the Rfam family "Bacterial small subunit ribosomal RNA", at positions 29 to 507 of the family's 1533-position model. The record is from RNAcentral.
AUGAACGCUGGCGGCGUGCCUAAUACAUGCCAGUCGAGCGAACAGACGAGGAGCUUGCUCCUCUGACGUUAGCGGCGGACGGGUGAGUAACACGUGGAUAACCUACCUAUAAGACUGGGAUAACUUCGGGAAACCGGAGCUAAUACCGGAUAACAUGUUGAACCGCAUGGUUCAACAGUGAAAGACGGUCUUGCCGUCACUUAUAGAUGGAUCCGCGCCGCAUUAGCUAGUUGGUAAGGUAACGGCUUACCAAGGCAACGAUGCGUAGCCGACCUGAGAGGGUGAUCGGCCACACUGGAACUGAGACACGGUCCAGACUCCUACGGGAGGCAGCAGUAGGGAAUCUUCCGCAAUGGGCGAAAGCCUGACGGAGCAACGCCGCGUGAGUGAAGAAGGUCUUCGGAUCGUAAAACUCUGUUAUUAGGGAAGAACAAAUGUGUAAGUAACUAUGCACGUCUUGACGGUACCUAAUCAGAAAGCCACGGCUAACUACGUG